This 124-nucleotide small RNA is filed under the name Serratia ureilytica. RNAcentral's name for it is "RtT sRNA". It matches the Rfam family "RtT RNA". From Rfam's summary of the family: This family represents a bacterial cis-regulatory element known as RtT RNA. The exact function of RtT is unknown although it is thought that it may be involved in changing the cellular response in relation to amino acid starvation. The record is from RNAcentral. Lineage: Bacteria; Pseudomonadati; Pseudomonadota; Gammaproteobacteria; Enterobacterales; Yersiniaceae.
UAGUUUACCGAGUCGUGCAGGAUGAAGAACCGUAGAGGUUCAAGCAUCGCGCAGCGAUACGACAACGCGCAGCGUUGCCCGCAGGGUGAGGCCACAGGCCGAAUCAAUCCUGCACGACCCACCA